RNAcentral lists this ribosomal RNA (677 nucleotides) under uncultured organism. Its description in RNAcentral is "bacterial SSU rRNA". It matches the Rfam family "Bacterial small subunit ribosomal RNA", at positions 1 to 663 of the family's 1533-position model. The record is from RNAcentral.
GGCUUAGAGUUUGAUCAUGGCUCAGGAUGAACGCUGGCGGCGUGCCUAACACAUGCAAGUCGAACGGAGAUUAACGCUGAAUUGAUAAUUAGCUUGCUAAGAGGAUUUUCUUGUUAAUCUUAGUGGCGGACGGGUGAGUAACACGUGAGCAACCUGCCUUUCAGAGGGGGAUAACGGCUGGAAACGGUCGCUAAUACCGCAUGAUAUAUUCGGAUGGCAUCGUCUGAAUAUCAAAGGAGCAAUCCGCUGAAAGAUGGGCUCGCGUCUGAUUAGAUAGUUGGUGAGGUAACGGCUCACCAAGUCGACGAUCAGUAGCCGGACUGAGAGGUUGAACGGCCACAUUGGGACUGAGAUACGGCCCAGACUCCUACGGGAGGCAGCAGUGGGGAAUAUUGCACAAUGGGGGAAACCCUGAUGCAGCAACGCCGCGUGAAGGAAGACGGUUUUCGGAUUGUAGACUUCUUUUCUUAGUGAAGAAGAAAGUGACGGUAGCUAAGGAAUAAGCAUCGGCUAACUACGUGCCAGCAGCCGCGGUAAUACGUAGGAUGCAAGCGUUAUCCGGAUUUACUGGGUGUAAAGGGAGCGCAGGCGGGACUGCAAGUUGGAUGUGAAAUGCCGGGGCUCAACCCCGGAGCUGCAUCCAAAACUGUAGUUCUUGAGUGGAGUAGAGGCAAGCG